GACGGGACGCUGUCCGGUCGGCCGGGGGACGGCCCUUCUGACCCAUGGCGGGCCGAAGCCUGGAAGUGCUCCGCUCCGCCGAGAGCUUGGAAAGGGCCGGGCACCGGACUGCGCGCCCAAAGCCCGGCCUCCUUCCACUCGACCCUGCGGGGAAGGAGCGGAGCCCGGGGGGAGGCCGCCCCUGGCCCAUCCCACCGAGCAGGCCGAGCAGAUGAUCCGGCCGCGCGGCCUCGCAGCCCAGUAAGAGUUACGACCACCUGACAGUUCUACGUCUUGGGGAGCCAACACCGACCACCCGAGUGCCCUUCCUUCUGUGAAAGUUCUUUGAAGUUGUUAAGAAUAUUCUCAAAAGACAAUCAUUACCUUUAGUACUGUUACUUGGGGGAAAAGAAGGUUGGAUUACUGACUUUACAUCAGAACCUACAUUGGAGGGUGUCUGUUUCCCUCCUUUUCUUAGCAAUUUCUCCUAUGCCAUUUAUGGCGUGGGUCAGAGUCCUAAAGAAGUGGAUCAGGUCCUCAACAGCACUAGAAAUCUAAUUAUAAAAAUGAAAACUUUGGAAAACCUUCUCAAGUCAAGAUCUCCAAAAUGCUACUCACGGCUGUUAACACAGUGCACUAAUUAUGCAUAGUGAAGAGUUUAUACUAAGAUUACAAAAGUGCUAGUAGUUAAUAUGCAAGGAAUAAAGUGAAAGUUCAUGGUCAAUGGAUCAUUAUUUCCAAAGUUUGAAGACUUUUCCAGCGGGUUUGAUUUAAAUGUUACAUACUGAGAACUAGGAAGGAGCGACAGCAUCUGUCUGUGUGUCCCUGCUAUUGUGGGAGUGACUGCAGAUUUGGGAGGAAUAAAGUGAUGAAGCUCUGACUUUCCCUGGCCCCAGGGCUGUGUUCCCCUUGGGCCAUUUGCCCCAGGGAGAGGUGUAGGCCUAAUAGGACACUCACUUGGCUCCAUGACCGAACCUCAGGACUGAACAACCCACCCGCUGCCAUAGGAGCACAAGUCACAAGAGCAGGGGACAGGCCUGGCUGACCAGUCACAUGCUGCUUCAUUGCAGAGCUGAUGCCCUAAUGAAGGGUUUGUAAUGUCUCGGUGUGUGACUUUAAGCAGUUUGUCUUCAAAUCUUAAAGUGUCCCUGGCUGUUACUAUGGCUUGAUCCCCACCUACCUGAAGUUGGCCCUCCCGUGUCACCCCUGGUCUUCACUUGGCCUGAGGUCACAGAGCACACGAGGCGGUAUUCACAAAUUACAGGCACUUUUUGAUUAAAGGUGCUUUGGCAUUGGGAGAAAGUGUGUCCUUCUUGCCUGCCCUUUACUCUGCCCAGGAGACUGGAAAGAAUAAAAGACUAUAGAAAGUUCAUUUUAGGAGAAUUAAAGAUCUUAAUUAGAGACAUAGCCUCAGUUGCAGUAGGAUUAGGUUCCUGGGGAAGGUAACAGGCAAAAUCCUGAAGGAGUCUCACAGAGAGGAAGUCGGGUCGUCUUGCCUGCAUGGGAAGCAUGUGCUGUUGGACAGAUUCUCUUCUGGUUGUACCACCGUUGGUGACCAGCCCUGAUUGGGUAGUGGGGAGGGGGCCCACAGGCGUGGGUAGUUUCGUCUGUUCCUUUGAUUCUAUUGCCAUCAAUGUCUUAACCAUAAAGAAAUACUUAGAUGUUAA
Molecule: long non-coding RNA, 1646 nt
Organism: Manis javanica (Malayan pangolin)
Lineage: Eukaryota; Metazoa; Chordata; Mammalia; Pholidota; Manidae
Source: RefSeq, a predicted model, not a curated record